GGAGACGUAGCUCAGUGGUCGUGUACAUGCUUUGCAUGUAUGAGGCCCCAGGUUCAAUCCCCCGCAUCUCCC
This 72-nucleotide transfer RNA is filed under the name Scleropages formosus (Asian bonytongue). It matches the Rfam family "tRNA". From Rfam's summary of the family: Transfer RNA (tRNA) molecules are approximately 80 nucleotides in length. Their secondary structure includes four short double-helical elements and three loops (D, anti-codon, and T loops). Further hydrogen bonds mediate the characteristic L-shaped molecular structure. tRNAs have two regions of fundamental functional importance: the anti-codon, which is responsible for specific mRNA codon recognition, and the 3' end, to which the tRNAs corresponding amino acid is attached (by aminoacyl-tRNA synthetases). tRNAs cope with the degeneracy of the genetic code in two manners: having more than one tRNA (with a specific anti-codon) for a particular amino acid; and 'wobble' base-pairing, i.e. permitting non-standard base-pairing at the 3rd anti-codon position. The record is from Rfam by way of RNAcentral. Lineage: Eukaryota; Metazoa; Chordata; Actinopteri; Osteoglossiformes; Osteoglossidae.